Molecule: transfer RNA, 73 nt
Filed under: Marmota monax (woodchuck)
Lineage: Eukaryota; Metazoa; Chordata; Mammalia; Rodentia; Sciuridae
Description: tRNA.Ala
Source: RNAcentral
GUGGGGUUGUGGCUCAGUGGUAGAGCGCUUGCCUAGCAUGUGUGAGGCACUGGGUUUGAUUCUUAGCACCACA